Molecule: unclassified non-coding RNA, 352 nt
Filed under: soil metagenome
Description: partial contains 5.8S ribosomal RNA, internal transcribed spacer 2, and large subunit ribosomal RNA
Rfam family: 5.8S ribosomal RNA (bases 1-120)
Source: RNAcentral
GAUGAAGAACGUAGCGAAAUGCGUUAAGUAAUGUGAAUUGCAGAAUUCAGUGAAUCAUCGAAUCUUUGAACGCACAUUGCGCCCGCCAGUAUUCUGGCGGGCAUGCCUGUUCGAGCGUCAUUACAACCCUCAGGCCCCCGGGCCUGGCGUUGGGGAUCGGCGGAGCCCCCCGUGGGCACACGCCGUCCCCCAAAUACAGUGGCGGUCCCGCCGCAGCUUCCAUCGCGUAGUAGCUAACACCUCGCGACUGGAGAGCGGCGCGGCCACGCCGUAAAACACCCAACUCUUCUGAAGUUGACCUCGAAUCAGGUAGGAAUACCCGCUGAACUUAAGCAUAUCAAUAAGCGGAGGA